RNAcentral lists this ribosomal RNA (520 nucleotides) under Agrobacterium sp. EB86. RNAcentral's name for it is "bacterial SSU rRNA". It matches the Rfam family "Bacterial small subunit ribosomal RNA", at positions 97 to 652 of the family's 1533-position model. Lineage: Bacteria; Pseudomonadati; Pseudomonadota; Alphaproteobacteria; Hyphomicrobiales; Rhizobiaceae. The record is from RNAcentral.
GGCAGACGGGUGAGUAACGCGUGGGAAUCUACCGUGCCCUGCGGAAUAGCUCCGGGAAACUGGAAUUAAUACCGCAUACGCCCUACGGGGGAAAGAUUUAUCGGGGUAUGAUGAGCCCGCGUUGGAUUAGCUAGUUGGUGGGGUAAAGGCCUACCAAGGCGACGAUCCAUAGCUGGUCUGAGAGGAUGAUCAGCCACAUUGGGACUGAGACACGGCCCAAACUCCUACGGGAGGCAGCAGUGGGGAAUAUUGGACAAUGGGCGCAAGCCUGAUCCAGCCAUGCCGCGUGAGUGAUGAAGGCCUUAGGGUUGUAAAGCUCUUUCACCGGAGAAGAUAAUGACGGUAUCCGGAGAAGAAGCCCCGGCUAACUUCGUGCCAGCAGCCGCGGUAAUACGAAGGGGGCUAGCGUUGUUCGGAAUUACUGGGCGUAAAGCGCACGUAGGCGGAUAUUUAAGUCAGGGGUGAAAUCCCAGAGCUCAACUCUGGAACUGCCUUUGAUACUGGGUAUCUUGAGUAUGGA